AAAUAAGAAGCAAAUUUUAUUGCAUUUAAUUUCGACUUAAAAAAAAGAGUAAAUUUUUACUCCUUAUUUA
This 70-nucleotide transfer RNA is filed under the name Malaza empyreus. RNAcentral describes it as "tRNA-Arg". The record is from RNAcentral. Lineage: Eukaryota; Metazoa; Arthropoda; Insecta; Lepidoptera; Hesperiidae.